This 255-nucleotide ribosomal RNA is filed under the name uncultured bacterium. RNAcentral's name for it is "partial 16S ribosomal RNA". It matches the Rfam family "Bacterial small subunit ribosomal RNA", at positions 57 to 305 of the family's 1533-position model. The record is from RNAcentral.
GCAAGUCGAGGGGUAACAGGGAGAAGCUUGCUUUUCCGCUGACGACCGGCGCACGGGUGAGUAACGCGUAUAGAACCUACCUUUUACUGAGGGAUAGCCUUUAGAAAUGAAGAUUAAUACCUCAUGGUAUUGAAUUUUGGCAUCAGAAUUUAAUUAAAGAUUUAUUGGUAAAAGAUGGCUAUGCGUCCUAUUAGUUAGUUGGUGAGGUAACGGCACACCAUGGCAACGAUAGGUAGGGGCCCUGAGAGGGGGAUC